AAGCAAUCUUAUAAUCUUCGGACG
RNAcentral lists this unclassified non-coding RNA (24 nucleotides) under Mus musculus (house mouse). RNAcentral describes it as "immunoglobulin kappa light chain". The record is from RNAcentral. Lineage: Eukaryota; Metazoa; Chordata; Mammalia; Rodentia; Muridae.